UACGAAGGGGGCUAGCGUUGCUCGGAAUUACUGGGCGUAAAGCGCACGUAGGCGGCUCUUUAAGUCGGGGGUGAAAUCCUGGAGCUCAACUCCAGAACUGCCUUUGAUACUGGCGAUCUUGAGUCCGGGAGAGGUGAGUGGAACUGCGAGUGUAGAGGUGAAAUUCGUAGAUAUUCGCAAGAACACCAGUGGCGAAGGCGGCUCACUGGCCCGGUACUGACGCUGAGGUGCAAAAGCGUGGGGAGCAAACAGG
This 253-nucleotide ribosomal RNA is filed under the name uncultured bacterium. Its description in RNAcentral is "partial 16S ribosomal RNA". It matches the Rfam family "Bacterial small subunit ribosomal RNA", at positions 524 to 776 of the family's 1533-position model. The record is from RNAcentral.